CACACUCAUCAUUGUCGCGGUCUUCGGGCGCAUAGCCCGAUGCCAAGAGGGAAGCCGGUGCAAGUCCGGUGCUGCCCCCGCAACUGUAAGCGGCGAGUUCCGGCCCAACCAUGUCACUGAAGCAUCCGCUUCGGGAAGACGGGCCGGAGCGCUGACCCGCAAGCCAGGAGACCUGCCGCGACGAAAUCGAAGUC
Molecule: non-coding RNA, 194 nt
Filed under: Rhodomicrobium vannielii
Lineage: Bacteria; Pseudomonadati; Pseudomonadota; Alphaproteobacteria; Hyphomicrobiales; Hyphomicrobiaceae
Also listed under: 1 other name
Source: RNAcentral